RNAcentral lists this ribosomal RNA (460 nucleotides) under uncultured bacterium. RNAcentral's name for it is "partial 16S ribosomal RNA". It matches the Rfam family "Bacterial small subunit ribosomal RNA", at positions 338 to 795 of the family's 1533-position model. The record is from RNAcentral.
CCUACGGGUGGCAGCAGUGAGGAAUAUUGGUCAAUGGACGAGAGUCUGACCCAGCCAAGUAGCGUGAAGGAUGACUGCCCUAUGGGUUGUAAACUUCUUUUAUAAAGGAAUAAAACGAGGCACGUGUGCCUUUUUGCAUGUACUUUAUGAAUAAGGAUCGGCUAACUCCGUGCCAGCAGCCGCGGUAAUACGGAGGAUCCGAGCGUUAUCCGGAUUUAUUGGGUUUAAAGGGAGCGUAGAUGGGUUGUUAAGUCAGUUGUGAAAGUUUGCGGCUCAACCGUAAAAUUGCAAGUGAUACUGGCAGUCGUGAGUACAGUUGAGGUAGGCGGAAUUCGUGGUGUAGCGGUGAAAUGCUUAGAUAUCACGAAGAACUCCGAUUGCGAAGGCAGCUUACUAAACUGCCACUGACAUUGAGGCUCGAAAGUGUGGGUAUCAAACAGGAUUAGAUACCCUUGUAGUC